UUAUGUGAUCGUCUCUCGCAUAUCAAUAAGCGGAGGAAAAGAAAACUAACAAGGAUUCCCCUAGUAACGGCGAGUGAAGCGGGAAGAGCUCAAAUUUGAAAUCUUAAAGGGUUUCCCUUUACGAAUUGUAGUUUAAAGAAGUGUUUUCUGUUGAGGUUUUGGUAAAAGUUCUUUGGAAUAGGACAUCAUAGAGGGUGAGAAUCCCGUAUUUGGUCAUUCCUUCUAGCUUUGUGAUACACUUUCAAAGAGUCGGAUUGUUUGGGAAUGCAGUCCAAAAUGGGCGGUAAAUUUCAUCUAAAGCUAAAUAUUGGCGAGAGACCGAUAGCGAACAAGUACCGUGAGGGAAAGAUGAAAAGAACUUUGAAAAGAGAGUUAAAACAGUACGUGAAAUUGUCAAAAGGGAAGCGUUUGACACCAGUGUUGUUUUUCUGAAAAUCAAUUAAAGAACUGUUUAUGCUAAGUUGUUUAGACUUUAUCAGCUAACUGUUUAGUUUUGAGCUUUUCUUUAAUGCACUCUUCAGUUAACAAGUCAACAUCAAUUUCUUUUGCUGUAAAAAAGCUUGAGGGAGGUGGCUUGAGAUUCGUCUUAAGUGUUUAUAGCCUCUUGCCUAUGCAGUCGGAGAGAUUGAGGUCUGCAGCGUAGAUCCUUCGGGGCUAAAUGCAUUUGUGCUAAGUUAUAGCAUUUUAUAGACAACUUGUUGACUAUGAUUUGUCUUGUAGCUUACUCGCUUAUGUUAUUUUACCUACGCUUAGGAUGUUGAUCUACAGAGCGAGAGU
This 777-nucleotide ribosomal RNA is filed under the name uncultured Neocallimastigales. Its description in RNAcentral is "partial large subunit ribosomal RNA". It matches the Rfam family "Eukaryotic large subunit ribosomal RNA", at positions 24 to 631 of the family's 3401-position model. The record is from RNAcentral. Lineage: Eukaryota; Fungi; Neocallimastigomycota; Neocallimastigomycetes; Neocallimastigales.